This 271-nucleotide long non-coding RNA is filed under the name Mytilus galloprovincialis (Mediterranean mussel). Lineage: Eukaryota; Metazoa; Mollusca; Bivalvia; Mytilida; Mytilidae. The record is from RNAcentral.
GCCAACCAACCAAGAUGGCCGCCAUGGCUAAAAAUAGAACAUGGGGGUAAAAUGUGGAUUUUGGCUCAUAUCUCUGGAACAAAAGCAUUUACAGCAAAUCUGACGAGUGGUAAAAUUGUUCAUAAGGUCAAGAUCUAUCUACCCUGAAAAUUUCAGAUAAAUCAGACAACCAGUUGUGGGGUUGCUGCCCCUGAAUUGGUAAUUUUAAGGAAAUUUCGCUGUUUUCGGUUAUAACUUGAAUAUUAUUAUAGUUAGAGAUAAACUGUAAACA